GGUGACCUCGAAUCAGGUAGGACUACCCGCUGAACUUAAGCAUAUCAAUAAGCGGAGGAAAAGAAACCAACAGGAUUGCCCUAGUACCGGCGAGUGAAGCGGCAACAGCUCAAUUUGAAAUCUGGCCCUCGGGUCCGAGUUGUAAUUUGUAGAGGAUGCUUUUGGUGAGGUGCCUUCCGAGUCCCUGGAACGGGACGCCAAAAGGUGAGAGCCCGUCUGUGAUACGAGCUCUGUAAGCUCCUUCCACGAUCAGUAGUUUGGAUGCUGCUCUAAUGGGAGGUAUAUGUCUC
Molecule: ribosomal RNA, 290 nt
Filed under: Calonectria brachiatica
Lineage: Eukaryota; Fungi; Ascomycota; Sordariomycetes; Hypocreales; Nectriaceae
Description: partial 28S ribosomal RNA
Rfam family: Eukaryotic large subunit ribosomal RNA
Source: RNAcentral